GACGAACGCUGGCGGCGUGCUUAACACAUGCAAGUCGAACGGAAAGGCCCGGCUUUUGUGGGGUGCUCGAGUGGCGAACGGGGGAGUAACACGUGAGUAACCUGCCCUUGACUUUGGGAUAACUUCAGGAAACUGGGGCUAAUACCGGAUAGGAGCUCCUGCUGCAUGUUGGGGGUUGGAAAGUUUCGGCGGUUGGGGAUGGACUCGCGGCUUAUCAGCUUGUUUGUGGGGUAGUGGUUUACCAAGGCUUUGACGGGUAGCCGGCCUGAGAGGGUGACCGGCCACAUUGGGACUGAGAUACGGCCCAGACUGCUACCGGCGGCAGCAGGGGGGAAUAUUGCACAAUGGGCGGAAGCCUGAUGCAGCGACGCCGCGUGCGGGAUGCCGGCCUUCGGGUUGUAAACCGCUUUCGCCUGUGACGAAGAGUGAGUGACGGUAAUGGGUAAAGAAGCACCGGCUAACUACGUG
Molecule: ribosomal RNA, 468 nt
Filed under: uncultured bacterium
Lineage: Bacteria
Description: partial 16S ribosomal RNA
Rfam family: Bacterial small subunit ribosomal RNA
Source: RNAcentral